Molecule: long non-coding RNA, 1105 nt
Filed under: Salmo salar (Atlantic salmon)
Lineage: Eukaryota; Metazoa; Chordata; Actinopteri; Salmoniformes; Salmonidae
Description: lncRNA (ENSSSAG00000091732.1)
Source: RNAcentral
CAGUUUAGUGAUGGUGGUGGUAGUAGUAGUAAUGAUGAUGGUAGUGAUAGCAGUUUAGUGAUGUGGUGGUAGUAGUAGAAUUGAUGAUGGAAGUGAUAGCAGUUUAGUGAUGGUGGUAGAAGUAGUAAUGAUGAUGCUAGAUAUAGCAGUUUAGUGAUGAUGGUGGUGGUGGUGGUAGUAGUAGUAAUGAUGUUGGUUUUCACAGCAGUUUAGUGAUGGUGGUAGUAGUAGUAAUGAUGACGGUAGUGAUAGCAGUUUAGUGAGGGUGGUGGUAGUAGUAUUAGUAAUGAUGAUCGUAGUGAUAGCAGUUUAGUGAUGGUGGUGGUGGUAGUAGUAGUAAUGAUGAUGGUAUUGAUAGCAGUUCAGUGAUGGUAGUAGUAGUAGUAAUGAUGAUGGUAGUGAUAGCAGUUUAGUUAUGGUGGUGGUAGUAGUAUUAGUAAUGAUGAUGGUAGUGAUAGCAGUUUAGUGAUGGUGGUGGUAGUAGUAGUAGUAAUGAUGAUGGUAGUGAUAGCAGUUUAGUGAUGGUAAUGGUGGAAAUAGUAGUAAUGAUGAUGGUAGUGAUAGCAGUUUACUGAUGGUGGUGGUGGUAGUAGUAGUAGUAAUGGCUAUGGUAGUGAUAGCAGUUUAGUGAUGGUGGUAGUAGUCGUAGAAUGUUGAUGGUAGUGAUAGCAGUUUAGUGAUGGUGGUGGUAGUAGCAGUAAUGAUGAUGGUAGUGAUAGCAGUUUAGUGAUGUGGUGGUAGUAGUAGAAUUGAUGAUGGUAGUGAUAGCAGUUUAGUGAAUGUGAUGGUGGAAGAAAUAUUAAUGAUGAUGGUAGUGAUAGCAGUUUAGUGAUGGUGGUGGUAGUAGUAGUGAUGUUGGUAUUCAUAGCAGUUUAGUGAUGGUGGUAGUAGUAGUAAUGAUGAUAGUAGUGAUAGCAGUUUAGUGAUGGUGUUGGUAGUUGUAGUAAUGAUGAUGGAAGUAAUAGCAGUUUAGUGAUGUGGUGGUGGUAGUAUAAUAAUGAUGAUGGUAGUGAUAGCAGUUUAGUGAUGGUGGUGGUAGUAGUAAUGAUGUUGGUAUUCACAGCAGUUUAGUGAUGGUGGUAGUAGUAGUAAUGAUGAUGGUAGU